This 1007-nucleotide long non-coding RNA is filed under the name Sinocyclocheilus grahami. RNAcentral describes it as "lncRNA (ENSSGRG00000039094.1)". The record is from RNAcentral. Lineage: Eukaryota; Metazoa; Chordata; Actinopteri; Cypriniformes; Cyprinidae.
GGGAAUUUUAAUCUGGGAGAUGAUAUGUUAUGGAUGAGAACAAAAGAAUGGAUAACAGAGGGGUUGCCAAAGUUUUACAAAGAAGUUUUAAGGGCUUGGGGAAAACUUUUAACUACUGUACAGUACAACUUACAAGGAAGAGAAAACAUUUUAAAUCAGCCAUUGUUCCUAAACACCGGCAUUUUAAACCAAGGGAAGGAAAUAUAUUUUAAAAAAUGGAUGGAAGUUGGAAUAGUUAAAGUAAGAGAUGUUUUAUAUGAAUAUAAAGAAGGAUUUUUACCAAUGCAGUACAUUGUAGAUGUGAUGGAGGAAGCAAAAGAAGAAUUUAAAAUGCAAGAACUAAAAAAUAUGUAUGAAAUGAUAAAAAAUGCAAUACCUAAAGAAUGGAUAAAAAAGGUUGAAACUAUGGAAGGGGGGAAAGAGGAAAAGGAUGUGUAUGUAAUACUGGGAGAUAAAUUGUGGCUUUUAAAGGAAUGUACAGUGAAAAUGUUUUAUGGCUUUUUCAGAGAUGUGAUUUUUAAGAAACCGGUUGUAAACAAAUUUUGGCAGAAGACAUUUGAAGGUUUAAAAGAAGAGGAAAUUUGGAAAAAUAUGAAAGGGGAGAAAGUUGAGGUUAAAUUGGAAAAUUCUGAGUUUUUUAUCAGACACAGAGUGGUGUUUACUGAUGUUAUACUCAAUAAAAUUGGAAUGGAAAAAAGUGCCACAUGCAAAGUGUGCAGUGAGGAAGAUGAAGGUUUUUUACAUGUGUUUUUAUAUUGUAGAGCAUUGAAGGAUUUUAAUGAAAAAUGUAAAACUAUUAUUGUAAGCCUGGGAGGGGAGCAAGAUGGAGAAGUUACAGAAUGGAAUAAGAUCAUAAUGUUAGGGUGGGCUAAGGAGAACAAAAACAAAAAGGUGAUCAAUCUGUUUGUAAUGCUAAUGAAAAAAGUCAUCUGGGAAAGAAGAGUGAUCGCAAAACAAGAACAAAUUAUACUUGACGUGUGGUGUUUGUUUAAAAGGCGUUGGGAAAU